RNAcentral lists this long non-coding RNA (961 nucleotides) under Piliocolobus tephrosceles (Ugandan red Colobus). RNAcentral's name for it is "lncRNA (ENSPTEG00000034427.1)". The record is from RNAcentral. Lineage: Eukaryota; Metazoa; Chordata; Mammalia; Primates; Cercopithecidae.
UGAAUAUAUUUUUUUAUUUGUUAAAUAUAACAUGAAUAUAAAAUUUGAACUUAACAUAAAUUCUUAAAGUGUAAAAAAAAGGAAAUUCUAAGUGUAAAUAUAUAUUCAUGUACGCAUAAAAAUACAUUCUUAAAAAUAGAUAAAUAAGACAAAAUGUAACAGUAUUUAUAUAUAUAUAUAUAUAUAUAUAUAUUUGCUUAUGUUUCUGUAUAAAUUAUUAAUGUUUUUUUUUUAAAGUUUGUAAGUAUAUACAUCAUUGUAUAAAAAAAAAACACUUAGUAAAAAAAUAAAAUAAAAUAAUCAGCUUGUCAAAAAUAAAUAAACUAUUAGUUAUGCUUGUAGUUAUCCAUUAAUAAGACUUUUUUAUUUACUAGGUGCAAAAAAAAAAAAAAAAAAAAUGGACGAAAAAGUUGAGUUUCUUAUAAGUAUAAUAAAUAAAUGGAAAAACAAGUAUUCUUACAAAAUAGUUGUUAAAGAAUAUAAUCAAGAGAAAAGGGAGCACUACUACGAUGUUACUUUUUUUGAAAAAAAUGAAAAUGAAUUUGUUCCGAAGUACACAAUAAAUGCAUAUUUUAUCAUAACGGAAAUAAAAAUAAUAAAUAGCUAUCUAAGUUAUUCAAGUGCUAAUGCUGGUGAAAAAUAUUUUGUGUCUUUUAAAUUCGAGAAUGAAAAUUUAUCCAGAACUUUAAAAAUGAACUUAAAUUAUGAAGCCUGGAUUGAUAAGUUGAUCAAAGACAAGAAAAAAUUAAGAAAUAAAAUAGAUUUAUCAUCUGAGUUUAUGAAAACUAGGUUUGUCGAACCCACUUCGGAGGAUAAUGUACAAAAGAUUUUACAAAAAAUUAAAGAAGAACGAGAAACAGCAAGAAAAAAAAAGAAAGAAGAAGAAGAAGAAGAAAAAAAUAAAAAUAAAAAGUAUGUAAAAAAAAGAAGAUAUAUCAUUACAAAAGAAGACAUUUUAUGA